Long non-coding RNA from Drosophila simulans, 465 nucleotides. RefSeq lists it as uncharacterized. NCBI's taxonomy places the organism in Eukaryota, Metazoa, Arthropoda, Insecta, Diptera, Drosophilidae. The transcript is spliced from 2 exons. The record is from RefSeq and is a predicted model, not a curated record.
AAGUGGAUUUCGGAACGAAAUGGUGUUCUAGAUAAGGUGAAAAACACAUCCAGCAACAAUAACAAUAAUCGCGUUAGGAAAGGAAGGCGUAACCAAAGAAUAAGCGUUUUGUAAACAAACAGUGCGAGCAAAACGGAAUGCCAAAAAACGCCAGCGAUUUUCGGACGAGACGGGCAAAAACGUCGAUCGAAAUGUUUACACAAGCCGAAAGUAAUUACAUAAAGCAACUAGGCAAAAAAGAAAAAAAAAUAUUGUCUAUUUACAAGUCCAAUUGAAGGCUGUCGAUAAAAAGCACAAACAAAGAAACACAAUGAUCUUAACUUCAAGAGCAAAAACUUUGGCAAGAGCGAAAAGCGAGAAAUCAGUGAAACGGUAACCCAUUUUAUCCGCUUUUAACCGCUUUUACUACCUUCAAAUACAAUGGAACAGAUAAAACAUAAUAAAGAGACUUGAGAAUGACGUGGA